AGUACUACGCCGGAUGAACGGAAAUCAUUGAUGUUGAUUAAUAUGGGAUUAGGAAAUAUCUUUAGUGCUA
RNAcentral lists this transfer RNA (70 nucleotides) under Conus raulsilvai. RNAcentral describes it as "tRNA-Ile". RNAcentral also lists the same sequence under 2 other names. The record is from RNAcentral. Lineage: Eukaryota; Metazoa; Mollusca; Gastropoda; Neogastropoda; Conidae.